This 500-nucleotide ribosomal RNA is filed under the name uncultured bacterium. Its description in RNAcentral is "partial 16S ribosomal RNA". It matches the Rfam family "Bacterial small subunit ribosomal RNA", at positions 30 to 523 of the family's 1533-position model. The record is from RNAcentral.
AUUGAACGCUGGCGGAAUGCUUUACACAUGCAAGUCGAACGGCAGCACGGACUUCGGUCUGGUGGCGAGUGGCGAACGGGUGAGUAAUGUAUCGGAACGUGCCCAGUCGUGGGGGAUAACGUAGUGAAAAUUACGCUAAUACCGCAUACGAUCUAUGGAUGAAAGCGGGGGAUCGCAAGACCUCGCGCGAUUGGAGCGGCCGAUAUCAGAUUAGGUAGUUGGUGGGGUAAAGGCCCACCAAGCCAACGAUCUGUAGCUGGUCUGAGAGGACGACCAGCCACAGUGGAACUGCGACACAGUCCAGACUCCUACGGGAGGCAGCAGUGGGGAAUUUUGGACAAUGGGCGAAAGCCUGAUCCAGCCAUUCCGCGUGCAGGAUGAAGGCCCUCGGGUUGUAAACUGCUUUUGUACAGAACGAAAAGGUUUCUACUAAUACUAGGAGCUCAUGACGGUACUGUAAGAAUAAGCACCGGCUAACUACGUGCCAGCCGCCGCCGUAA